GCCCCGGUAGCUCAGUCGGAUAGAGCAAUCGCCUCCUAAGCGAUAGGUCGCAGGUUCGAGUCCUGCCCGGGGCACCA
RNAcentral lists this transfer RNA (77 nucleotides) under Sediminicurvatus halobius. Its description in RNAcentral is "Spiribacter halobius tRNA-Arg". It matches the Rfam family "tRNA". From Rfam's summary of the family: Transfer RNA (tRNA) molecules are approximately 80 nucleotides in length. Lineage: Bacteria; Pseudomonadati; Pseudomonadota; Gammaproteobacteria; Chromatiales; Ectothiorhodospiraceae. The record is from RNAcentral.